RNAcentral lists this long non-coding RNA (2257 nucleotides) under Neogobius melanostomus (round goby). RNAcentral describes it as "lncRNA (ENSNMLG00000007634.1)". The record is from RNAcentral. Lineage: Eukaryota; Metazoa; Chordata; Actinopteri; Gobiiformes; Gobiidae.
ACAUGACCAGACACCCAUCGGUUGAUUCUUCACCGAGUGACAGUGGAUCCUCCCCAAGUGACACCGGGUCAAGUCCGUCUCCAAGUACUCCUCAGAAACUCCUCCCAGCAUGUACCUCUCCUUUUGGCCCAGGUUAGUUACUGUGACCCAUAGGUCCUCAGAGAUACCCCGCCCACAGCCUGAGGGUUCAGACCGACGCCCCGUGCCCAGACUGUCCGGGAAGUUAGGAGGCCAUGGACCGUGUGGGCGCCACAUCCCCGUGAAGAUGGAGAGAAUUAAGGUCCUUACUGGUUCAGAAGUGGAAAGCGACUAUCAAGAACCACAGAACAUGGACACAAGGGUGGUGAUGGGUCAGGAGUCAUUGCUCAAAAAUACAGAGAAGCAAAAAGAAACGCCUCAAAAUGCAGUUCAUCACCAAGUUGUUCCUGUAGGUCGUUCCCAUGAAACAGAAACUCACACUGAGACAAACACAACUGAAAGCCAAAAUCAGUCACACCAAAACACAAGUGAUCUGCAUCCUCCUACUACUUUCCCUUCCCCGUUGCUCACCCCUCUCCUUCCUGCCCCCUCAUCGUCCCCUGAGAACGAUGCCCCAGAUGACAGUUUGGCUGAACAGGGUCACUCUCCAGACGAAGUGCCUUCCGUAAAUUUCUCUGAGCUCGUCUGCCCCGUCACAUUAUCCUUCUCUGAACCGGUCUUUGCGGUGGACCCUUUACGAGUGGGCGUGCCCUCCUCCCGAGACCCUGACUUGUACUACACCGCUCCGUCAACCCCGACCAAAAUGCGCUCUUCGCACCUCAAGCACCACUCGUACCCGGGGUCUCCAUCCUACCCGCUCUCCCCUGGUUCCCCUUCUGAUAGUGAGGACCUAUGCUCCCCCCUUACCUCUUCCUCUGGUUCUUAUAUGACUGCAGAAGGAGAUAGCCAUGGAUCAUCCUACACUUCCUCCACCUCUCCUUCAACUUCACCCAAUCUUCUCCUCACUGAGGAAUCCCAAGAGGCACCUGCUUGCUUCGUUGGAUCCUUAUCGGAAAUAGGAGACGAAGAUGCUGAGGAUAAAGUCCGUUCUAUGCCGGACAGAGAAAGCAAAAUUGGGGAUUUCUUUCUUUGCAGGUCUGAAGAGAGUGCCUUUAUUUCAGAUAUAACCAGAACGGCCAUUUUGGAGGAGGAAGAGGCUCACGCUGAGGAAGAGGUUAAGGUUUCGAGAGAAAGUUGCCGUCCAAGUUGGGUGACUGAAGAUAUAUCCCCUCUAAGAAGCAGCAGUAGUCGGAGUAGUGACUCCCAGGAUGAUGCAGGUGAGUGUGAAAUUGAAAUGUCCAGGAUGGGAUCAGCUGACUAUUCAAGAUCCUUAGGCUUGAAACUACAACUAGAAGCGUGUCUAUCAGAAGAACCAUAUGAACAGAAAGACCCUGAUCUAGCAUCUUUAGCACUGACCCCCGAAACAAUAACUUCAACCAACCUCAGCCCUGACUCCCCAACCAUCUCACUGGACGCCUUCGAAAGACUUAGUUCCGGUCUGUCCAUGCUUUCCCAGGCCGCUUGCGCCAACAACAUUUUGGAUGAAGAUCAAAUGAUUCCCGCCUCCCUUCUUGGGUUCCCGCCUCACACCAAUUUCAUCUUCAGGGCGGAUUCAAUGGAGAUCACUCUUUUCCCAACAGAGGAGGAAACAGAAGACAUCAACGAGGAGAAAGACGCUUACGCAGCCGGCGAGGAGGAGGCAGACAUUGAAGAUGAUGAGGAGGACGAUGAAGAGUAUGUUAUUGAAAGUAAUGAUCUGAACAACGGUCUUAUUGAAGAAGUGAAUGUAGAAGUGGAAGUGGUGGAGGAGGCAGUUGAAGGCGCCAAAGAUGGUGUUGACUCUGAGGAAGAGGACGAAGAAGACUCAGACAGCAAAGGACAUGACUAUCCAACAGAUGAGGACAGUUCCUUUCUCCACUCGCUUUCGGAAACGUCUUUAAACGAAGGCUUGGACGAGUCUUUCUGUUACCAAGACGAUACUGAUGACUCACUCGAUUCAGCUUCUUUCAAUGGAGAUGAGGAGGAAUACAGCAAGGAACAGCACGCACAGGCAGCGGAACCUACAGCAACUCAAGAAGGAGACCCCAAUCUCCCUACAGAGGAAGUUGUGGAGCCUGCUGCCGCCUCAUGUUGUCAACAAGUAGAGUGUUUAAGCAACUCUGAUCUUGACAAGAAAGAAGAAUGUGCAAUUGAUGUUGAAAAUAAAGAGGACAAACAGAAAAUGCAUCACAAUCAUUAA